AGUCGAACGAUGAAGCCGGAGCUUGCUCUGGUGGAUUAGUGGCGAACGGGUGAGUAACACGUGAGUAACCUGCCCUUGACUCUGGGAUAAGCGUUGGAAACGACGUCUAAUACCGGAUACGAGCUGAGACCGCAUGGUCAUUAGCUGGAAAGAAUUUCGGUCAAGGAUGGACUCGCGGCCUAUCAGUUAGUUGGUGAGGUAACGGCUCACCAAGACGACGACGGGUAGCCGGCCUGAGAGGGUGACCGGCCACACUGGGACUGAGACACGGCCCAGACUCCUACGGGAGGCAGCAGUGGGGAAUAUUGCACAAUGGGCGCAAGCCUGAUGCAGCAACGCCGCGUGAGGGACGACGGCCUUCGGGUUGUAAACCUCUUUUAGCAGGGAAGAAGCGAAAGUGACGGUACCUGCAGAAAAAGCACCGGCUAACUACGUGCCAGCAGCCGCGGUAAUACGUAGGGUGCAAGCGUUGUCCGGAAUUAUUGGGCGUAAAGAGCUCGUAGGCGGUUUGUCGCGUCUGCUGUGAAAACGCGAGGCUCAACCUCGCGCCUGCAGUGGGUACGGGCAAACUAGAGUGCGGUAGGGGAGAUUGGAAUUCCUGGU
This 603-nucleotide ribosomal RNA is filed under the name bacterium SL2.7. RNAcentral describes it as "bacterial SSU rRNA". It matches the Rfam family "Bacterial small subunit ribosomal RNA", at positions 60 to 674 of the family's 1533-position model. The record is from RNAcentral.